CACGGGUGCGUAACACGUGGGUAACCUGCCCUCCAAAGGGGAUAACCCCGCGAAAGCGGGGCUAAUACCGCAUGACAUUCCAGAUUCUUCGGAAUUCGGAUUCAAAGCCCGCAAGGGCGUUGGAGGAGGGGCCCGCGGCCGAUUAGCUUGUUGGCGAGGUAACGGCUCACCAAGGCAAUGAUCGGUAGCCGGUCUGAGAGGAUGGCCGGCCACACUGGAACUGAGACACGGUCCAG
This 236-nucleotide ribosomal RNA is filed under the name uncultured bacterium. Its description in RNAcentral is "partial 16S ribosomal RNA". It matches the Rfam family "Bacterial small subunit ribosomal RNA", at positions 102 to 334 of the family's 1533-position model. The record is from RNAcentral.